This is a long non-coding RNA of Cyprinus carpio carpio, 1149 nucleotides long. NCBI's taxonomy places the organism in Eukaryota, Metazoa, Chordata, Actinopteri, Cypriniformes, Cyprinidae. The record is from Ensembl.
UUGUGAUUUUUCAAGUUUUUCUUCUUGUCUUGAAAAAGGUGGUUGCUAACUAUAUAAGCUCUAUAAGCGAAAUAUAACAUAGCCCAAAUGUGAAAGAAUUAGAUUUAAAAUUACAUUUUAAUUUCUUUCACUGUCGACCAAUAUCUUGAAGGAAUAUGUUGAGGCACAUAAUGCUUCAAAACGCUCUUAUUGGCAGCUCACUGGGUUUCGGAACAGUAGCUAAUUUACAUUAUUUGAUCAUUCCUUCCUAUCUGGGUGCUGCAUUAUUUGCAUUUAUUUCCUGCUUUCCAGAUUUCCUGUUUGUCUAAAAGAUAUUCCACACCUCUGAUCUCAAAUCCAUAUCAGAUGUCACUGUGUGCAGACUUGUGACUUGUGUGAGAACUAUCUGUUAAAGUCCUGUGGUGAGUCAGAAUGUCAACAUGCCCCCCCACCCCCCUCCGUUUAGACCAGAUUAACUUGUCAAACGACUGGUUCUUUGCUAGACUGGUCUUUCUGAACGGAUCUCAGCGUCUGAUCCUUCACGGGCCAGUGGCAGAGGCUUAACAAAGUACAAGGUCAAUCAGAAGGAAAGGAAGGGGGAUGUGGAUUUGGGAUCGUUUUACCUGGAUAUGGAUUAGCACUUCAGCGAGACGGUUCCUUUCGAGUUUUGUCUGUCUCAGCGCCUUUGCCACCCAAAGCUCAGAGACAGUUUUAAUUGCAACACGACGACCACAAGAAACACACAAAACCCUCAUAAAAGUAUAGAAAAGCUGGCUGCGUUCCCAAUGAGGCCAGCAAAUCAUGGAGUAAUUACAGGUAAGCGACCUCUCCAUCUCAGACUGCUCUACGGGGAGGGAGAUUUUUCAAUAUUUUAUGUAUGGUCAAAGCAUGGUGCUUUACGUACUGCUUGAAUGUUGACUGCGGGCCUAUAGGUGAUGCCCUGUACUCUGAAAGCCGUAGAAGUUUGGUGGCAAGUAAUAUAUUAGCCAGGUAAGCCGCCUUAUCCAGCAUUAUUAUUAUUAGUCUAACCACUUUAUUCAUGAUGUUCUAAUUUGUUUUUUAACUUUAUACACAGGGACAAAAUAAGUGAAAAAUUAAGUGAGUUUUUGUUGGAAAAAAAACAAAACAAAAUGCCAGUGGGAUAAGAAAAAUACCUUUGAAAUAAGAUUA